Molecule: ribosomal RNA, 500 nt
Filed under: uncultured bacterium
Lineage: Bacteria
Description: partial 16S ribosomal RNA
Rfam family: Bacterial small subunit ribosomal RNA
Source: RNAcentral
AUUGAACGCUGGCGGCAUGCCUUACACAUGCAAGUCGAACGGCAGCACGGGAGCAAUCCUGGUGGCGAGUGGCGAACGGGUGAGUAAAGUAUCGGAACGUGCCCAGUCGUGGGGGAUAACGUAGCGAAAGUUACGCUAAUACCGCAUACGGUCUAUGGAUGAAAGCGGGGGAUCGCAAGACCUCGCGCGAUUGGAGCGGCCGAUAUCAGAUUAGGUAGUUGGUGGGGUAAAGGCUCACCAAGCCGACGAUCUGUAGCUGGUCUGAGAGGACGCACAGCAACACUGGGAGUGAGACACGGCCCAGAGUCCGACGGGAGGCAGCAGUGGGGAAGUUUGGACAAUGGGCGAAAGCCUGAUCCAGACAUGCCGCGUGCAGGAUGAAGGCCUUCGGGUUGUAAACUGCUUUUGUACGGAACGAAAAGGUUUGGCCUAAUAAGCUGAGCUCAUGACGGUACCGUAAGAAUAAGCACCGGCUAACUACGUGCCAGCAGCCGCCGUAA